CUACGGGCUGCUGCAGCUAAGAAUCUUCCGCAAUGGGCGAAAGCCUGACGGAGCGACGCCGCGUGGGUGAAGAAGGCCGAGAGGUUGUAAAGCCCUUUUCUGCUUGAGGAAUAAGCAUCGGAGGGAAUGCCGGUGUGAUGACGGUAGGGCAGGAAUAAGCCCCGGCUAAUUACGUGCCAGCAGCCGCGGUAACACGUAUGGGGCGCGCGUUGUUCGGAAUCAUUGGGCGUAAAGGGCGGGUAGGCGGAAAUGCAAGUCUGGUGUGAAAGACCGCAGCUCAACUGCGGGACCGCGCUGGAAACUGCAUAUCUUGAGUUCCGGAGGGGGAGUUGGAAUUCCUGGUGUAGGGGUGAAAUCUGUUGAUAUCAGGAAGAACACCGGUGGCGAAGGCGAACUCCUGGACGAGAACUGACGCUGAGGCGCGAAAGCGUGGGGAGCGAACAGGAUUAGAUACCCCCGUAGUC
RNAcentral lists this ribosomal RNA (464 nucleotides) under uncultured bacterium. Its description in RNAcentral is "partial 16S ribosomal RNA". It matches the Rfam family "Bacterial small subunit ribosomal RNA", at positions 339 to 795 of the family's 1533-position model. The record is from RNAcentral.